This 342-nucleotide long non-coding RNA is filed under the name Elaeis guineensis (African oil palm). RNAcentral describes it as "long non-coding RNA (EGUI_LNC066593)". Lineage: Eukaryota; Viridiplantae; Streptophyta; Magnoliopsida; Arecales; Arecaceae. The record is from RNAcentral.
CGUAGGAGUUCGGACGAAGACUUUCUGCAGCCGAAGUUGGGGACGAAGUCCGGCUCCUAUAGGAGUCCGGACGAAGCCUUCCUGCAAUUGGAGUCGGGGAUGAAGUCUGGCUCCCGUAGGAGUCCGGACAAAGUCUUCCUGCAGUCGGAGUCGGGGAUGAAGUUCGGCUCCUAAGCCUUCCUGCAGUCAGAGUCAGGGAUGAAGUCCAGCUCCCGUAGGAGUCCGGACGAAGCCUUCCUGCAGUCGAAGUUGGGGACGAAGUCUGGCUCCUAUAGGAGUCCGUCUGUCGUGAAGAAUCUGAUCGACGCUGGUGGGGUUUUAUCCGUCGGUAGAACUUGGGAA